UUUUAAAACAAAUAAAAUAUUUUAAUAAAUUAAUAAUUUUUUUUAAAGAAAAUUUAAAAGGAGACUGCAGGUACCAAAAGGGAUAUUAUUUUAUUUAAUAUAAUAACGUUUUCAAUUAUUGAUUUAUUUAAUCAAUUAAUAUAAAUUUAUCUAGCGAUUUAUAUCGUUAUCUAAGGGUAUUUUUGACAUUAUACAUAUAUAAAAGGGAUACUUCCAAUUAAGGUAUAAACUUUUCAAAUUUUUAUAAUGAGAUGACAAAAGUUAUAAAUUGUUCAAUUAAGGGACAAUCAUUAGUUAAUUAGAGUUAGAUUUAACAUUUAAUAAAUGUAAACAUGUAAUUGAACAAUUUAGAUUAUUAUUUUUUACAAAAUAAAUAAUAAGAAAUCCAAAAAUUAUCAAAUUAAAAAAAUAAAAAUAAAAAUAAAUAAAAAUAAAAAUAAAAGCCUACUUUCUUUCAUUUUUUUUAAAUUUUCUUUUAGUCUAUAAAUUAAAAAAAAAAAUUCAACUUCCAUUAAAAAAAAAAAAAAUGUAGCUGAUGUCCUAAACCAAUAUCUGGAGCUUUUCAAUGACCUCUCGAUGGCUGAAGUCAUGUGGAGUUAAAAGCUGCAAAGCUCUAGAGUUCUUGAGCUUUCUCAGGUUUGACUAUCUGACAAACAUUAGUUUAGAACCCAGUAUCUUGUAUUCUUAAAUAAAUGUAGCUGAUUUCCUAAACCAAUGUUUCAUGGAACCGUAUGGACUAACUUUGGUACCAGCUGGGGCAGAGUGAAGAGACCCUCUGCUUCUGGGAGAUUUUCGAACCGCCUGCCAAUGAAGAUUCUCAAAGGUUUCAUAUCUUGACAGCCAUCUAUCUCAAAGGCCAACUAAAGAUGGAGGCACUAAAAGAAGGCUAAAUGCAAGAAAAAAAAUAGCUAAGUUUCUUCAAGAUACUAAUAAAGAAAUGGCAAAAGAAGUCAUAAACUCAAGAAAUGGAGACGACGGAAGAUCUGGAUGAGUUUAUGAACAAGGUUAGGCCUGAUGCCGAUCUAUUGAACGAUGAAAUUUAAGACUAUGCCACUUUGGGAAGAUGUUCAUUGAUGAUUAUCUUUCGGAGAUCAUUAGCAGGUUGAUUUUGUAAAAGCAUUCCUCAAUUAUUUGGUGUUAUGCUGGCCAUUUAAUUUAUUCCUUUGAGGAGUCACUUUCAGAUGCAGAGCUUCAACUAGCCUGUAGAGAUGGAGGGUUACUUGGUAAGGGAAUUCUUGUUUGUUAAAAAUAACAGUUGGGAGAUGCUGAAGUUAUUAUAGGAACAUAUAAAAACAUUCUUCAGAAUUGCAUAAGUUAGAAUGUAUUAUUUUCCAGGCUUAGUUAGAGAGACCAUGAACCUGA
This is a long non-coding RNA of Pistacia vera, 1362 nucleotides long. RefSeq lists it as uncharacterized. The record is from RefSeq and is a predicted model, not a curated record. Lineage: Eukaryota; Viridiplantae; Streptophyta; Magnoliopsida; Sapindales; Anacardiaceae. The transcript is spliced from 3 exons.